This 397-nucleotide ribosomal RNA is filed under the name uncultured bacterium. Its description in RNAcentral is "bacterial SSU rRNA". It matches the Rfam family "Bacterial small subunit ribosomal RNA", at positions 28 to 422 of the family's 1533-position model. The record is from RNAcentral.
GAUGAACGCUAGCGGCAGGCUUAAUACAUGCAAGUCGAGGGGCAGCACGAAUAGCAAUAUUUGGUGGCGACCGGCAAACGGGUGCGGAACACGUACGCAACCUUCCUUUAAGUGGAGAAUAGCCCGGGGAAACCCGGAUUAAUACUCCGUAACAUUAUAAAGUGGCAUCACUUAGUAAUUAUAGAUUUAUCGCUUAAAGAUGGGCGUGCGCCUGAUUAGGUAGUUGGCGGAGUAAAGCCCACCAAGCCUGCGAUCAGUAACUGGUGUGAGAGCACGACCAGUCACACGGGCACUGAGACACGGGCCCGACUCCUACGGGAGGCAGCAGUAAGGAAUAUUGGUCAAUGGACGCAAGUCUGAACCAGCCAUGCCGCGUGGAGGAUGAAGGUCCUCUGGA